CAGUAGCUCAGCUGGUUAGAGUGCUGGCCUGUCACGCCAGAGGUCGAGGGUUCGAGUCCCUUCUGG
This 66-nucleotide transfer RNA is filed under the name chicken gut metagenome. It matches the Rfam family "tRNA", at positions 5 to 66 of the family's 71-position model. Rfam says of the family: Transfer RNA (tRNA) molecules are approximately 80 nucleotides in length. Their secondary structure includes four short double-helical elements and three loops (D, anti-codon, and T loops). The record is from RNAcentral.